RNAcentral lists this ribosomal RNA (447 nucleotides) under Trimeresurus gumprechti (Gumprechts green pitviper). RNAcentral's name for it is "partial 16S large subunit ribosomal RNA". It matches the Rfam family "Bacterial large subunit ribosomal RNA", at positions 1931 to 2596 of the family's 2925-position model. Lineage: Eukaryota; Metazoa; Chordata; Lepidosauria; Squamata; Viperidae. The record is from RNAcentral.
CCGCGGUAUCCUAACCGUGCAAAGGUAGCAUAAUCAUUUGUCUAUUAAUUGUAGACCUGUAUGAAAGGCAAAAUGAGAGCCCAACUGUCUCUUAUAACAAAUCAAUAAAACUGAUCUCCUAGUACAAAAGCUAGAAUACUAACAUAAGACCAGAAGACCCUGUGAAGCUUUAACAAACCCAUUAAAUCAAAUAAUGAUUACUUUCGGUUGGGGCGACCUUGGAAUAAAAAAGAACUUCCAACAUAUGACCUGCUCAUAAAAUAAGGCAAACAAGCCAAUACUAGACCCAGCACAGCUGAUAAUUGAAAUAAGUUACUCCAGGGAUAACAGCGCUAUCUUCUUUAAGAGCCCAUAUCAAAAAGAAGGUUUACGACCUCGAUGUUGGAUCAGGACAUCCCAGUAAUGCAUCCGUUACUAAAGGUUCGUUUGUUCAACGAUUAACAGUCC